GGGUGCUAGCUCACUGAUCGGCAAACAAAAACUCAUCCUAUUUUCUCUCUUGCUUCCCAUUUUUCUUAGUGGGCGUGGCUUCGAUGGCGUAUCCGCGUGGAGGUGGGCGGAGCCGAGUUAGAGGUUUUCAAAAAUGAUAAUGGGAAAGAAUAAAAAAAAACAAGAAAAAUAAAAGAUAAGAAG
Molecule: long non-coding RNA, 183 nt
Organism: Penaeus monodon (black tiger shrimp)
Lineage: Eukaryota; Metazoa; Arthropoda; Malacostraca; Decapoda; Penaeidae
Exons: 2
Source: RefSeq, a predicted model, not a curated record